GCCCAACUAAAAGAUGAAAUGAAUAAAUUGUCCAUUAUUUGGACAACAGAACACUAUACAGCAAGGUGGGAUUUCCUGGUAUACUCAUAACCUUUAGGAUUUAACCUCAGAAGUAUAGAUGACUGCUCUACAUACUGUAUUUUCAAAUUUCUAUGUAACAUUCAGGAAAGUUGAAAGCAAGGGAGAAAAGACAAGAUAGGAACUUAGCACCACGCCAAGAAGUGUGAUAGACAAAAACAAUUGAGGGGGGCACCUGGAUGAUACAGUUUAUUAAGCAUCUGGAGGCUAGGUCCUGAUCUCCAGGUCUUGAGAUUGAGUACCCAGUCAUGCUCAAGCACUCAUGGAGUCUGCUUGAGAUUCUCUUUCUCCCUCUACCCCUCUCCUCCUGCUCGUACUCUCUCAAAUAAUCUUAAAAAAAAAAAAAAAAAAAAAAAAAAAAAAAAAAAAA
Molecule: long non-coding RNA, 448 nt
Organism: Canis lupus familiaris (dog)
Lineage: Eukaryota; Metazoa; Chordata; Mammalia; Carnivora; Canidae
Exons: 2
Source: RefSeq, a predicted model, not a curated record